This is a non-coding RNA of Delitschia confertaspora ATCC 74209, 96 nucleotides long. The record is from the annotation of a GenBank genome assembly. NCBI's taxonomy places the organism in Eukaryota, Fungi, Ascomycota, Dothideomycetes, Pleosporales, Delitschiaceae.
GCAUCGGUGGUUUAGUGGUAAAAUUAGCCGUUGCCAAUCGCAACAUUAGCAAUUGUCGAAGUCGGCUAGCCCCGGGUUCGAUUCCCGGCCGAUGCA